RNAcentral lists this ribosomal RNA (254 nucleotides) under uncultured bacterium. RNAcentral's name for it is "partial 16S ribosomal RNA". It matches the Rfam family "Bacterial small subunit ribosomal RNA", at positions 524 to 776 of the family's 1533-position model. The record is from RNAcentral.
UACGUAGGGUGCAAGCGUUAAUCGGAAUUACUGGGCGUAAAGCGUGCGCAGGCGGUUAUGCAAGACAGAUGUGAAAUCCCCGGGCUCAACCUGGGAACUGCAUUUGUGACUGCAUAGCUAGAGUACGGUAGAGGGGGAUGGAAUUCCGCGUGUAGCAGUGAAAUGCGUAGAUAUGCGGAGGAACACCGAUGGCGAAGGCAAUCCCCUGGACCUGUACUGACGCUCAUGCACGAAAGGCGUGGGGAGCAAACAGG